GAUGAACGCUGGCGGCGUGCCUAAUACAUGCAAGUCGAGCGAACGGACGAGAAGCUUGCUUCUCUGAUGUUAGCGGCGGACGGGUGAGUAACACGUGGAUAACCUACCUAUAAGACUGGGAUAACUUCGGGAAACCGGAGCUAAUACCGGAUAAUAUUUUGAACCGCAUGGUUCAAAAGUGAAAGACGGUCUUGCUGUCACUUAUAGAUGGAUCCGCGCUGCAUUAGCUAGUUGGUAAGGUAACGGCUUACCAAGGCAACGAUGCAUAGCCGACCUGAGAGGGUGAUCGGCCACACUGGAACUGAGACACGGUCCAGGCUCCUACGGGAGGCAGCAGUAGGGAAUCUUCCGCAAUGAGCGAAAGCCUGACGGAGCAACGCCGCGUGAGUGAUGAAGGUCUUCGGAUCGUAAAACUCUGUUAUUAGGGAAGAACAUAUGUGUAAGUAACUGUGCACAUCUUGACGGUACCUAAUCAGAAAGCCACGGCUAACUACGUG
RNAcentral lists this ribosomal RNA (497 nucleotides) under uncultured bacterium. RNAcentral describes it as "partial 16S ribosomal RNA". It matches the Rfam family "Bacterial small subunit ribosomal RNA", at positions 28 to 507 of the family's 1533-position model. The record is from RNAcentral.